Gracilinanus agilis (Agile Gracile Mouse Opossum) is the source of this 106-nucleotide small nuclear RNA. Lineage: Eukaryota; Metazoa; Chordata; Mammalia; Didelphimorphia; Didelphidae. The record is from RefSeq and is a predicted model, not a curated record.
GUGAUCACUUUGGCAGCACACAUACUAAAAUUGGAGCAUAGAGAGAAAAUUAGCAUGGCCAUUAUGAAAGAAUGACAUGCAUAUUCAUGAAGUUUUUGUUAUUUUG